Molecule: long non-coding RNA, 214 nt
Organism: Melospiza melodia melodia
Lineage: Eukaryota; Metazoa; Chordata; Aves; Passeriformes; Passerellidae
Exons: 4
Source: RefSeq, a predicted model, not a curated record
AUCCUAACUCUCUUUCAGAUGCAGAAGGAUAGAAUCCAGGGCAGAGGCCCCCAUCCCAGGUGAGGGGAUUCGCCCAAGCAGGAAGUCAAGGCAGAGAGCUGCAGUCCAGGCCAGCGGGCAAGGUGGUCCACUUGCGAUCUAUCCUGGCCGAGCAUGCUCAUGCCAGGUGCUGUCGCUGCCCUAAGCAUGACCAAGGAACAGAGGAGGGCAGGUG